This 75-nucleotide transfer RNA is filed under the name Bacteroidales bacterium. RNAcentral's name for it is "tRNA-Pro". It matches the Rfam family "tRNA". From Rfam's summary of the family: Transfer RNA (tRNA) molecules are approximately 80 nucleotides in length. Lineage: Bacteria; Pseudomonadati; Bacteroidota; Bacteroidia; Bacteroidales. The record is from RNAcentral.
CGGGGCGUAGCGCAGUCCGGUUAGCGUGUCUGCUUUGGGAGCAGAAGGUCGCAGGUUCGAAUCCUGCCGCCCCGA